This 316-nucleotide ribosomal RNA is filed under the name uncultured soil bacterium. Its description in RNAcentral is "bacterial SSU rRNA". It matches the Rfam family "Bacterial small subunit ribosomal RNA", at positions 26 to 340 of the family's 1533-position model. The record is from RNAcentral.
AGGAUGAACGCUGGCGGCGUGCUUAACACAUGCAAGUCGGACGGUGAAGCCCAGCUUGCUGGGUGGAUCAGUGGCGAACGGGUGAGUAACACGUGAGCAACCUGCCCCUGACUCUGGGAUAAGCGCUGGAAACGGUGUCUAAUACUGGAUACGAACAGUGACCGCAUGGUCAGUUGUUGGAAAGAUUUAGUUGGUUGGGGAUGGGGCUCGCGGCCUAUCAGCUUGUUGGUGAGGUAAUGGCUCACCAAGGCGUCGACGGGUAGCCGGCCUGAGAGGGUGACCCGGCACACUGAGACUGAGACACGGCCAGACUCGU